RNAcentral lists this ribosomal RNA (180 nucleotides) under Cronobacter sakazakii. RNAcentral's name for it is "partial 16S ribosomal RNA". It matches the Rfam family "Bacterial small subunit ribosomal RNA", at positions 1353 to 1533 of the family's 1533-position model. Lineage: Bacteria; Pseudomonadati; Pseudomonadota; Gammaproteobacteria; Enterobacterales; Enterobacteriaceae. The record is from RNAcentral.
AAUGCCACGGUGAAUACGUUCCCGGGCCUUGUACACACCGCCCGUCACACCAUGGGAGUGGGUUGCAAAAGAAGUAGGUAGCUUAACCUUCGGGAGGGCGCUUACCACUUUGUGAUUCAUGACUGGGUGAAGUCGUAACAAGGUAACCGUAGGGGAACCUGCGGUUGGAUCACCUCCUUA